RNAcentral lists this ribosomal RNA (516 nucleotides) under uncultured bacterium. RNAcentral's name for it is "bacterial SSU rRNA". It matches the Rfam family "Bacterial small subunit ribosomal RNA", at positions 8 to 518 of the family's 1533-position model. The record is from RNAcentral.
AGAGUUUGAUUCUGGCUCAGGAUGAACGCUAGCGACAGGCUUAACACAUGCAAGUCGAGGGGCAGCAUAAAAGUAGCAAUACUUUGGUGGCGACCGGCGCACGGGUGAGUAACGCGUAUGCAACCUACCUAUCAGAGGGGAAUAACCCGGCGAAAGUCGGACUAAUACCGCAUAAACAGGGGCACCGCAUGGUGAUAUUUGUUAAAGAAAUUCGCUGAUAGAUGGGCAUGCGUUCCAUUAGGUAGUUGGUGAGGUAACGGCUCACCAAGCCGACGAUGGAUAGGGAACUGAGAGGUUGGUCCCCCACACUGGUACUGAGACACGGACCAGACUCCUACGGGAGGCAGCAGUGAGGAAUAUUGGUCAAUGGGCGGGAGCCUGAACCAGCCAAGUCGCGUGAAGGAAGAAGGAUCUAUGGUUCGUAAACUUCUUUUGCAGGGGAAUAAAGUGCAGGACGUGUCCUGUUUUGUAUGUACCCUGAGAAUAAGGAUCGGCUAACUCCGUGCCAGCCGCGGC